RNAcentral lists this unclassified non-coding RNA (76 nucleotides) under Schizosaccharomyces pombe (fission yeast). RNAcentral describes it as "non-coding RNA (predicted)". Lineage: Eukaryota; Fungi; Ascomycota; Schizosaccharomycetes; Schizosaccharomycetales; Schizosaccharomycetaceae. The record is from RNAcentral.
UUGUAAAAAAAUAGGAGCAUCGCUCAUCCGUUGAUUAUCGUCAUAAAACAUUAUGCCUCACCCAACAUAUAUCCAU